RNAcentral lists this non-coding RNA (30 nucleotides) under Mus musculus (house mouse). The record is from RNAcentral. Lineage: Eukaryota; Metazoa; Chordata; Mammalia; Rodentia; Muridae.
UCAUUGCUAUCUAUUAUAAGAGCCACCUGG